This 358-nucleotide ribosomal RNA is filed under the name uncultured bacterium. Its description in RNAcentral is "bacterial SSU rRNA". It matches the Rfam family "Bacterial small subunit ribosomal RNA", at positions 28 to 390 of the family's 1533-position model. The record is from RNAcentral.
GACGAACGCUGGCGGCGUGCUUAACACAUGCAAGUCGAGCGGUAAGGCCCUUUCGGGGGUACACGAGCGGCGAACGGGUGAGUAACACGUGGGUGACCUGCCUUUAGCUCUGGGAUAAGCCUGGGAAACUGGGUCUAAUACCGGAUAUGACCCUAUGGCGCAUGUUGUGGGGUGGAAAGCCUUGUGCGGCUAGGGAUGGGCCCGCGGCCUAUCAGCUUGUUGGUGGGGUGAUGGCCUACCAGGCGACGACGGUAGCCGGCCUGAGAGGGCGACCGGCCACACUGGGACUGAGACACGGCCCAGACUCCUACGGGAGGCAGCAGUGGGAAUCUUGCGCAAUGGGCGAAAGCCUGACGCA